RNAcentral lists this ribosomal RNA (472 nucleotides) under uncultured bacterium. Its description in RNAcentral is "bacterial SSU rRNA". It matches the Rfam family "Bacterial small subunit ribosomal RNA", at positions 328 to 792 of the family's 1533-position model. The record is from RNAcentral.
AGUCCAGACUCCUACGGGAGGCAGCAGUGGGGAAUAUUGCACAAUGGGCGCAAGCCUGAUGCAGCCAUGCCGCGUGUAUGAAGAAGGCCUUCGGGUUGUAAAGUACUUUCAGCGGGGAGGAAGGUGCUGAGGUUAAUAACCUCAGCAAUUGACGUUACCCGCAGAAGAAGCACCGGCUAACUCCGUGCCAGCAGCCGCGGUAAUACGGAGGGUGCAAGCGUUAAUCGGAAUUACUGGGCGUAAAGCGCACGCAGGCGGUCUGUCAAGUCGGAUGUGAAAUCCCCGGGCUCAACCUGGGAACUGCAUUCGAAACUGGCAGGCUGGAGUCUUGGAGAGGGGGGUAGAAUUCCAGGUGUAGCGGUGAAAUGCGUAGAGAUCUGGAGGAAUACCGGUGGCGAAGGCGACCCCCUGGACAAAGACUGACGCUCAGGUGCGAAAGCGUGGGGAGCAAGCAGGAUUAGAUACCCGUGUA